RNAcentral lists this ribosomal RNA (255 nucleotides) under uncultured prokaryote. Its description in RNAcentral is "partial 16S ribosomal RNA". It matches the Rfam family "Bacterial small subunit ribosomal RNA", at positions 522 to 776 of the family's 1533-position model. The record is from RNAcentral.
AAUACGAAGGGGGCUAGCGUUGCUCGGAAUUACUGGGCGUAAAGGGCGCGUAGGCGGACAGUUUAGUCAGAGGUAAAAGCCCAGGGCUCAACCUUGGAAUUGCCUUUGAUACUGGCUGUCUUGAGUUCGGGAGAGGUGAGUGGAAUGCCGAGUGUAGAGGUGAAAUUCGUAGAUAUUCGGCGGAACACCAGUGGCGAAGGCGACUCACUGGCCCGAUACUGACGCUGAGGCGCGAAAGCGUGGGGAGCAAACAGG